Molecule: long non-coding RNA, 1494 nt
Organism: Bombyx mori (domestic silkworm)
Lineage: Eukaryota; Metazoa; Arthropoda; Insecta; Lepidoptera; Bombycidae
Exons: 2
Source: RefSeq, a predicted model, not a curated record
UUAAAGUUCAACUAAACGAAACGCUUAUAUGAAAUGCCCUUACGAUUUCCCAGCAUGAUAGUACACACACAUAUGCAUUCAACAUGCAUUGUUUUUAUUAACAACUUUAAAUUUUAUCUCGACUAAUUUACGCGAGUAGAUUCUCUCGAAUAGACGUUGCUGUGAAUGUCGUUUAAGGAUUCAGUCCAAAUUCGCCUUUUACGUGAGACAAGAUAACAGUAGUCGAGAAAAUAUUUCUGAUAUUCUCGCCUACAGGUAUUCGAGAUAUCGCACACCUAGAUCUAAAGAGAGUUAAGUCAAAAAUCUGUAUGGUUGAGUUAUGCUCACCAUUUAAUUUCCUAUACGGAUACCUAUCUGACCAAUAAAACAGAUUUAAAAAUAAGUACAAAACUCAACGCUAGAUGGCACCUAGAGUCCCUUUUGUUGAACGAGCGAGCCAGCCCCUCUCGCGCCUAAACGGAAACAAUGCUAGUUGCAAUCAGAAUUACGAGCGGAGUACACGUGCUCUCCGUAAAAAAAUUGGAGUUAUUUUGAAUUGUCACCUUUUAGAUGGUUAUUGCUGAUUAAAUAGAUGCAACAUUUUAAGUUAAACCUAUAUUGCUGGCAAGGAAAAUAAUGCACUGCGGGCGAUUUUUAGUAAAUAUGAUAAAAAAACGGGAUGAAGAAAAUAUCGCUCCUCCUAUCACUUCUACGCAACAUGCAACCGUGGAAGAUGACUUGAAGAUAAUAUCAUCAAGUGAUGAAGUUUCAUCCAAUGAAACUCAUGCUGUCUUGACACCGGUUAAACAUCUGUACCUAGCAGUAGCCCAUCUAAACAACAAAAUUAUGUUGCCCCGAACUACUAUAUUUCACGGAUCCGGAGCGAUGAAAGUGAUAUUGAAGACUCUGAUGAAGAUCCUAAUUUUCAACUGUGAAACAAAAAUGAGCUCCCACCUAAGGUCAUACCUUCAUUAUUAUCGGCGACUUCGUCCAGCACCAGCAGCAGCAACUCGAGUUCGUCGGAUACCGAAGAUGAUAGUAAGCAAGUAGGUCCGGAAAAUGUUUAGGUUCCUGAAUCUGGUAUUGAGAUCGAAAAAAAGGGCAAAAAGAGAGUACGUAAACCAGCAACGUGGAAGUCGAAAAUCGCGAAACAACUGAGAAGUUCUGGCAAAGCCUAUCAGUCCUUGUCAAAAUCUAAGAAACUAAUACUAGAAAGAAAGGUUGGACCACCCUGUGGAGACAAAUGUCGCCUAAAAUGCAAAGAUAAAGUGGACGAGAUGUCAAGACAACAGGUCUUUGACGCAUAUUGGGCACUCAGCGAUCUUGAAAGGCAAAGAAAAUUCAUAGUACGCCACUCGCAACAAAUAAAGCCUAAAUAUCGGUACUCAAGUACACAAAAUUUUAGAGCCCUCAACAGUGUUUAAGAGUUACUAUGACCCAUUUGGGUUUAUGAGACUGACAUAAGUUAAUGCUACUAAUAAUAAUAGAACUAAUAUACAAUAUUGAUUGACUGCA